Acanthosepion pharaonis is the source of this 112-nucleotide non-coding RNA. The record is from the annotation of a GenBank genome assembly. NCBI's taxonomy places the organism in Eukaryota, Metazoa, Mollusca, Cephalopoda, Sepiida, Sepiidae.
ACGGACACAUCACGUUGAAACACUGGUUCGCGGACGAUCACCGAAGUUAAACAACGUCGUGCUUGGUCAAUACCUAGAUAGGUGACCGCCUGGGAAUAUCGGGUGCUGUAAG